UGUGCGUUCAAAUAAUCAACAAACGAAAAAAAUGUGAAGAUAAACCCUUGCCAUUCUGAAGCAGCUCCCUAUAAUGCGCAUCCAUCGACACGGCGCUGUGAGCAACUUCACAGAGUGGCCGGGGAGAGCAGAGAAAAUUAACUGAUUAAGUGGUUGACUCUGUAGCGGGAAAGCGUAUUAUCUGCCUCCCGCGUUACCGUAAGAUUCGCCGCAAGGCAAACGGGUAACGAACGCUCUUUAACAAUUUAUCAGAC
This is a non-coding RNA of Yersinia pseudotuberculosis IP 32953, 254 nucleotides long. The record is from Rfam. NCBI's taxonomy places the organism in Bacteria, Pseudomonadati, Pseudomonadota, Gammaproteobacteria, Enterobacterales, Yersiniaceae.